CGAGAGGUCCCGAGUUCGAUUCUCGGAAUGCCCCUGUUUUUUUUCAUGUUUUAUCUUUGCCUGUAUUAUUCUAAAGUGUGCGUUUGUGAUUUUUCUAUAAGUGCAUGCAUUUGUAGCCUGUCAGUGAGAACAUAAUACUUGCAGUUGUGUUUAUUCCACCAAAAAACCAGGAGAAUAUGUGAAUCAAUCUUAACAAUCUGGCUGCAUUAUAGCAUUCACAGUUAACCGCACAGACUGCUGCUGGGCAUGCCAAGAGACACUUAGCAGUUGAUUGACAUAUGUAUCUCUCUGUUAGUCUGCAAGUAUCACUGGUCAAAACUAUAAGAUUAGUAUGUGAUCAUGUGUUUCUAUUUGAA
Molecule: long non-coding RNA, 356 nt
Filed under: Vigna radiata
Lineage: Eukaryota; Viridiplantae; Streptophyta; Magnoliopsida; Fabales; Fabaceae
Description: long non-coding RNA (VRAD_LNC009353)
Source: RNAcentral